RNAcentral lists this long non-coding RNA (558 nucleotides) under Cyanistes caeruleus (blue tit). RNAcentral describes it as "lncRNA (ENSCCEG00000014000.1)". Lineage: Eukaryota; Metazoa; Chordata; Aves; Passeriformes; Paridae. The record is from RNAcentral.
AUGAAUGACAGAUUUUUUUGCAGAAUGAAGGAGAGACUCUCUCUAGCAGGGCCCACAUGCCACGUAGCCAAGGAGGAGUUCACUGCAGCUCCCCUCAGGCAUCUUCCAGGCUCUUCAGCCUGUAAAAGCUGUCCUGCAGGUCAGCAAAGAGGAGGUGGUGGCUACUGGAUACCCAGCACACGGCCUGGCAGAGCACUCCAGUGCAUGCCUUCCUUCCCUGCCUGCUGUUUCGGAGAUGGUGGAUGCAGGAUGCCCCUGAUUCAACAAUCUUCAUUUUCUGAAAGUGGCAUGAACUAGGAGUUAAAUGUAGCUAAUUUGAUUUUUUUUUUAAGAAUUCUGUUUAUGUGUAACAAUUAAAGUUUUAAUUUUUUAAAGACAAAAACAUCCAUUUUAUAUUUUAGUACUAAUUACUAGAAGGUAAAGAAAAAAUAGACUGUAGAUUUUCUAAUGCACUUUUUUGUAAUAUUUUCAACGCAACAAUUCAGAUCCCUCUCUAGAACUUUACAAAACUGUGUCAGAAAAGAAUUUGUACAAAUAAUAACUUUUCUAGGAAUCCUC